RNAcentral lists this ribosomal RNA (439 nucleotides) under uncultured bacterium. RNAcentral's name for it is "partial 16S ribosomal RNA". It matches the Rfam family "Bacterial small subunit ribosomal RNA", at positions 338 to 795 of the family's 1533-position model. The record is from RNAcentral.
CCUACGGGAGGCAGCAGUGGGGGAUAUUGCACAAUGGGGGGAACCCUGAUGCAGCGACGCCGCGUGGGUGAAGAAGCGCCUCGGCGCGUAAAGCCCUGUCAGCAGGGAAGAAAAUGACGGUACCUGAAGAAGAAGCCCCGGCUAACUACGUGCCAGCAGCCGCGGUAAUACGUAGGGGGCAAGCGUUAUCCGGAUUUACUGGGUGUAAAGGGGGCGCAGACGGCGAUGCAAGCCAGGAGUGAAAGCCCGGGCCCAACCCCGGGACUGCUCGUGGAACUGCGUGGCUGGAGUGCAGGAGGGGCAGGCGGAAUUCCUGGUGUAGCGGUGAAAUGCGUAGAUAUCAGGAGGAACACCGGUGGCGAAGGCGGCCUGCUGGACUGCAACUGACGUUGAGGCCCGAAAGCGUGGGGAGCAAACAGGAUUAGAUACCCCAGUAGUC